Molecule: non-coding RNA, 2435 nt
Organism: Anas platyrhynchos (mallard)
Lineage: Eukaryota; Metazoa; Chordata; Aves; Anseriformes; Anatidae
Source: RefSeq, a predicted model, not a curated record
CAGAAAACACAGCAAUUACAUUCAUAAACAAAGUAGUUCUCCUUUAGCUGUUCUGAUUAUUUUUUUUUUUAAAUAGCAUGAGAAUAUUGUAGGUUCCCAUUAGUUCCAUGAACUGAUGCUCUUAGACCAGACAACUUGCUAAUAUCUUCCCCUUUGCAAUGGAAAAGGUUUCACAUUCUAUUGGAAAUACACACUGACGUGGUGCACCUUUUACAUUCCUCUUGCUUUAGAGCCUUCAAGGCAUCCACAAAUAUUUCUUGUUACUUAGUGCAGUGCUCCUGUAGCAGAAUGAACAGAGCUUCACAGCUCUACUAGUGCAAAACCCUUCCUAUCCUUGAGAAAAAUCCUCGGUACCAACCAAGCAAAAAAAAGACAAAUGUAAAUCUAAAGUAGUGCAAGAGGAGAAAUAUUUCUUUAUGCCACAUAUACAUCACUUUAUCCUUUAUUUGUAAAUGCAGGAAGAAAGAGAAGAGAGCGUGCGUGGUGCUGAGUGGAGAAACUGACAGACACAAAAGCAAUUUCUGAGACUUUGUCCAUGUCAUGCUGGGAAGCAGACAAAGCAAUGAAACGUCAGUCUACCAUGCUGUGAUGAAGCAGAAGAUGGCUCCUCUUGGUGCCUUUCCUGUGUGCUUUCCUGCGUUGGAUAUUCCCUCCAGUCAGAAGUGACUAAGAGAUCCCUGAGAGACUGCUACUUUUGGAAUAGGCAGGUACAGCAUCGUUGAUGGGCUGUUAUUGAAGAUUUGCUCUCAACUCUGCCUUGUUGCUUGAGAAAUGCUGAAGAAAAUAGAGUUGUCAUCUUGCCCUUGGCCAGGAGCAGGAUGGUCAAGCAGCAUGGGGGUAUCAGAAGCUCAUUUGGAGGCAGCAUCCUGAACUCCAUCUGGGAGCUUUGGUAAGAUAUGGCCUCAAACACAAGCAUUAACAGCUCUGCCAGAAACCUCUGUGGACAGUUCUGCAGAGAAAGUAAAUGAUAUUGCCUCUUGCUGUUUUGUUAUCUGACAGUAACUAUGAUAGCCUCGCAGCUUUAUUGGUGGGAAGUGGUAGUAGUGGUACCAUCUCUAGCCCUUGUGAUUGUAGGGAGUUGAAGCUGUGCCCUUUAAAAACUCAAAAUCCUAAAAACAAAUAAAGGAGAAAAGAUGACUGCCUUUCCCUUCUUGUAAAAAGCAACGUCAUGGACUAGGAAGGAACUCUUCUCCUGCUUUUACUGAGGAACUGUAAAUUAUUAUCAUAAAUGGAGUCUACUGCUUUGUUAAAGUAAGAACGUCCGCAAUUUGUUGUAUUUAUCUGACACAAUCUUUUGUAAUCUACAUUUAUGAUAUGAUGUGCCUAUAUUUUUUAUCUUAGGCUUUUAAACAAUUCUACCUUGUGAGAGGUAUGUAAGUUUAAACAGUACUUUCGGUAUCUCAGUUUCACUUGGUUCAUUCUAAUGCAUUCUGUAACUGUAAAUUUAUACCUUUAUUAUGUUUAAAUUGGUAAAAUUUGUUCAUUUUUCCUUUUCAUGCAUCUUUGGAAGUCUGUUAUUGUGUAGGUUUUUGUUGUUGUUUUUUUCAGGUGGAAACUUUCAUUGUGGAAACUUUUUUUUUUUUCUUCCCUUUUUUCAAUCUUUUUUUUGGCAUUCCUUAGUAGCUAAUUCAUUUUCUUCCCUUGAAAAUAUCAAAUCUCACAAAACCCUCUGGUAUGGUAGCUGAAACAUUAAAUUACAGAAAUUUAAUAGAAAAAAAAAAGCCAUUUUAAAUCUUUUGAUUUGUCUGCUUUACAAAUUUUCUGACUUGUAUAUGAUUACAAUAGACUGCUUUUUCAAAAAUCUUUUUUUUGUUGUUGUUACAGGUUUGGAAACUUUCCUGCUGGUGCUAUAUUGAACUGGCUUGCUCACAAGACUGUUUCAAGAAUUCCAUUCAUAGCUCUCAAAAAUGAGAUGAGAACUCUUAAAGGCUCAGAAACUUAAAAAAUAUAUAUAAUUUAAUUUCAGUAUCAUAGAUUUUUAACUUGGCAUUUCAAAAAUCUGUAAUUCAUCACACCAUGCAAACAGGGAGAAAAAUCUGGGGUAAGAAUAUCACAACCUAGCUGCAUUUUUUUUUCUUUAAUUUGUUCUUCUGUUUGUUCUUCCAUGGCCCUAUAUAAAUGCCAGAUUUGCAGACCAUACUGUGUGCCUAUUCCCCAGUCAUUUCACUUGGCAGAAAAAUUCCCUCUGAUUUGUAUCUGUGUUUCAACAGCCAGCAGCUUAGUGUGAAAACCUAUUUUGAGUGCCUUAACCUUGUUCUUUCAUGUUGGCUUUUCUGACAUGUCAGCUUUCCAUAGUAGGUGACUCGUAUGCUGUUCAUCUCCUUUAGGGAAAACAGGAGAAUCCACUCUUUGAGUUUUGACUACUCUGCUUUGUAAGAUACUUUUUAAGAUUUCUGGCUAACUCCGUAAUAAAAAGUUGGUGGUGAAACUUGGAA